AAACCUCUCAGCAAUACUUUAUUGUUGGUUAUGGGCUGCGGAGGAAUUGGCUUUUAACGGCCAGCUCCCGCCUUAAACUUGCUGCACGACCGUAAGCUUAUGCUAGGUUAUUGGAGUGGUGUUUACAUUAUAUUCCAGCAAUCCUCUCAUAGCUUGAUGGCGUUAAAUCUGAUAGUUGCUUAACUGCAACCGACG
RNAcentral lists this unclassified non-coding RNA (195 nucleotides) under uncultured Orbiliales. RNAcentral's name for it is "sequence contains ITS2". Lineage: Eukaryota; Fungi; Ascomycota; Orbiliomycetes; Orbiliales. The record is from RNAcentral.